UGCAAGUCGAGGGGCAGCAUAAAGUACUUGUACUUUGAUGGCGACCGGCGAACGGGUGCGUAACGCGUAUGCAACUUACCUUUUACUAGAGAAUAGCCAAGAGAAAUUUUGAUUAAUGCUCUAUACUCUUUUUAACUCACAUGAGAUUUUAAGAAAAGCUCCGGCGGUAAAAGAUGGGCAUGCGUCCUAUUAGCUUGUAGGUGAGGUAACGGCUCACCUAAGCUCCGAUAGGUAGGGGUCCUGAGAGGGAGAUCCCCCACACUGGUACUGAGACACGGACCAGACUUCUACGGAAGGCAGCAGUAAGGAAUAUUGGACAAUGGAGGAAACUCUGAUCCAGCGAUGCCGCGUGAAGGAAGACGGCCCUAUGGGUUGUAAACCUCUUUUAUACAGGAAGAAACCUUUCCACGUGUGGAAAGCUGACGGUACUGUAAGAAUAAGGAUCGGCUAACUCCGUGCCAGCAGCCGCGGUAAUACGGAGGAUCCAAGCGUUAUCCGGAAUUAUUGGGUUUAAAGGGUCCGCAGGCUGUUUGUUAAGUCAGGGGUGAAAUCCUACCGCUCAACGGUAGAACUGCCUUUGAUACUGGCAAACUUGAGUUAUUGUGAAGUAGUUAGAAUGUGUAGUGUAGCGGCGAAAUGCAUAGAUAUUACACAGAAUACCAAUUGCGAAGGCAGAUUACUAACAAUUAACUGACGCUGAGGGACGAAAGCGUGGGUAGCGAACAGGAUUAGAUACCCUGGUAGUCCACGCCGUAAACGAUGGUCACUAGCUGUUCGAUGUACAUUGGUACAUUGAGUGGCUAAGCGAAAGUGAUAAGUGACCCACCUGGGGAGUACGCUCGC
This 843-nucleotide ribosomal RNA is filed under the name uncultured marine bacterium. Its description in RNAcentral is "bacterial SSU rRNA". It matches the Rfam family "Bacterial small subunit ribosomal RNA", at positions 56 to 889 of the family's 1533-position model. The record is from RNAcentral.